GAUGAAGAACGCAGCGAAAUGCGAUAAGUAAUGUGAAUUGCAGAAUUCAGUGAAUCAUCGAAUCUUUGAACGCACAUUGCGCCCGCCAGUAUUCUGGCGGGCAUGCCUGUUCGAGCGUCAUUUCAACCAUCAAGCCCCCGGCUUGUGUUGGGGACCUGCGGCUGCCGCAGGCCCUGAAAAGCAGUGGCGGGCUCGCUGUCACACCGAGCGUAGUAGCAUACAUCUCGCUCUGGGCGUGCUGCGGGUUCCGGCCGUUAAACCACCUGCAUAACCCAAGGUUGACCUCGGAUCAGGUAGGAAGACCCGCUGAACUUAAGCAUAUCAAUAAGCGGAGGA
This 336-nucleotide unclassified non-coding RNA is filed under the name soil metagenome. RNAcentral describes it as "partial contains 5.8S ribosomal RNA, internal transcribed spacer 2, and large subunit ribosomal RNA". The stretch from base 1 to 120 matches the Rfam family "5.8S ribosomal RNA", at positions 35 to 154 of the family's 154-position model. The record is from RNAcentral.